RNAcentral lists this transfer RNA (73 nucleotides) under Candidatus Dadabacteria bacterium. Its description in RNAcentral is "tRNA-Ala". It matches the Rfam family "tRNA". Rfam says of the family: Transfer RNA (tRNA) molecules are approximately 80 nucleotides in length. Their secondary structure includes four short double-helical elements and three loops (D, anti-codon, and T loops). Lineage: Bacteria; Pseudomonadati; Thermodesulfobacteriota; Candidatus Dadabacteria. The record is from RNAcentral.
GGGCCUAUAGCUCAGUUGGGAGAGCGCAUGACUGGCAGUCAUGAGGUCGGCGGUUCAAGUCCGCCUAGGUCCA